RNAcentral lists this ribosomal RNA (423 nucleotides) under uncultured eukaryote. Its description in RNAcentral is "bacterial SSU rRNA". It matches the Rfam family "Eukaryotic small subunit ribosomal RNA", at positions 592 to 1018 of the family's 1831-position model. The record is from RNAcentral.
CAAUAGCGUAUAUUAAAGUUGUUGCGGUUAAAAAGCUCGUAGUUGGAUUUCUGCUUGGGACAACCGGUCCGCCCACUGGGUGAGUAUCUGGCUUGGCCCGGGCAUCUUCUUGGGGAACGUUACUGCACUUGACUGUGUGGUGCGGAGCCCAGGACCUUUACUUUGAGGAAAUUAGAGUGUUCAAGGGAGGCGUACGCCUCGCAUAGGUUAGCAUGGAAUAAUGCUGUAAGACCAUGGUAUUGCUGUGUUGGUUUCUAUCACCUAAGGUAAUGAUAAACAGGGAUAGUUGGGGGCAUUCGUAUUUAACUGUCAGAGGUGAAAUUCUUGGAUUUGUUAAAGACGAACGACUGCGAAAGCAUUUGCCAAGGAUGUUUUCAUUGAUCAAGAACGAAAGUUAGGGGAUCGAAGACGAUUAGAUACCGU